CCUGGCUCAUUAGAGGGCUGGCGGCGCGCCUAACACAUGCAAGUCGAACGAGCGAGAGAGAGCUUGCUUUCUCGAGCGAGUGGCGAACGGGUGAGUAACGCGUGAGGAACCUGCCUCAAAGAGGGGGACAACAGUUGGAAACGACUGCUAAUACCGCAUAAGCCCACGGGUCGGCAUCGACCAGAGGGAAAAGGAGCAAUCCGCUUUGAGAUGGCCUCGCGUCCGAUUAGCUAGUUGGUGAGGUAACGGCCCACCAAGGCGACGAUCGGUAGCCGGACUGAGAGGUUGAACGGCCACAUUGGGACUGAGACACGGCCCAGACUCCUACGGGAGGCAGCAGUGGGGAAUAUUGCACAAUGGGGGAAACCCUGAUGCAGCGACGCCGCGUGGAGGAAGAAGGUCUUCGGAUUGUAAACUCCUGUUGUUGAGGAAGAUAAUGACGGUACUCAACAAGGAAGUGACGGCUAACUACGUGCCAGCAGCCGCGGUAAAACGUAGGUCACAAGCGUUGUCCGGAAUUACUGGGUGUAAAGGGAGCGCAGGCGGGAAGACAAGUUGGAAGUGAAAUCUAUGGGCUCAACCCAUAAACUGCUUUCAAAACUGUUUUUCUUGAGUAGUGCAGAGGUAGGCGGAAUUCCCGGUGUAGCGGUGGAAUGCGUAGAUAUCGGGAGGAACACCAGUGGCGAAGGCGGCCUACUGGGCACCAACUGACGCUGAGGCUCGAAAGUGUGGGUAGCAAACAGGAUUAGAUACCCUGGUAGUCCACACCGUAAACGAUGAUUACUAGGUGUUGGAGGAUUGACCCCUUCAGUGCCGCAGUUAACACAAUAAGUAAUCCACCUGGGGAGUACGACCGCAAGGUUGAAACUCAAAGGAAUUGACGGGGGCCCGCACAAGCAGUGGAGUAUGUGGUUUAAUUCGACGCAACGCGAAGAACCUUACCAAGUCUUGACAUCCUGCGACGCACAUAGAAAUAUGUGUUUCCUUCGGGACGCAGAGACGGGUGGUGCAUGGUUGUCGUCAGCUCGUGUCGUGAGAUGUUGGGUUAAGUCCCGCAACGAGCGCAACCCUUACUGUCAGUUACUACGCAAGAGGACUCUGGCAGGACUGCCGUUGACAAAACGGAGGAAGGUGGGGAUGACGUCAAAUCAUCAUGCCCUUUAUGACUUGGGCUACACACGUACUACAAUGGCGUUAAACAAAGAGAAGCAAGACCGCGAGGUGGAGCAAAACUCAGAAACAACGUCCCAGUUCGGACUGCAGGCUGCAACUCGCCUGCACGAAGUCGGAAUUGCUAGUAAUCGUGGAUCAGCAUGCCACGGUGAAUACGUUCCCGGGCCUUGUACACACCG
RNAcentral lists this ribosomal RNA (1352 nucleotides) under uncultured bacterium. RNAcentral's name for it is "bacterial SSU rRNA". It matches the Rfam family "Bacterial small subunit ribosomal RNA", at positions 18 to 1392 of the family's 1533-position model. The record is from RNAcentral.